UGAGGUAGUAGAUUGUAUAGUUGUGGGGUAGUGAUUUUACCCUGUUCAGGAGAUAACUAUACAAUCUAUUGCCUUCC
Molecule: microRNA precursor, 77 nt
Filed under: Sarcophilus harrisii (Tasmanian devil)
Lineage: Eukaryota; Metazoa; Chordata; Mammalia; Dasyuromorphia; Dasyuridae
Also listed under: 12 other names
Description: Sha-Let-7-P2b1_pre stem-loop
Rfam family: let-7 microRNA precursor family
About the family: This family represents the microRNAs (miRNA) let-7 and mir-98. let-7 was identified from a study of developmental timing in C. elegans, and was later shown to be part of a much larger class of non-coding RNAs termed miRNAs. The extents of the hairpin precursors are not generally known and are estimated based on hairpin prediction.
Source: RNAcentral